GGAUGAACGCUGGCGGCGUGCCUAACACAUGCAAGUCGAACGGAGAUUACGGACGGAAGUUUUCGGAUGGAAGACUGUAAUUCUUAGUGGCGGACGGGUGAGUAACGCGUGGGCAACCUGCCCUAUACAGGGGGAUAGCAGCUGGAAACGGCUGGUAAGACCGCAUAAGUCGGCGAGACCGCAUGGUUUUGCCGGGAAAUGAGCAAUCAGGUAUAGGAUGGGCCCGCGUCCGAUUAGCCAGUUGGCAGGGUAAAAGCCUACCAAAGCAACGAUCGGUGGCCGGACUGAGAGGUCGGACGGCCACAUUGGGACUGAGACACGGCCCAAACUCCUACGGGAGGCAGCAGUGGGGGAUAUUGCACAAUGGAGGAAACUCUGAUGCAGCGACGCCGCGUGAGUGAAGAAGUAUUUCGGUAUGUAAAGCUCUAUCAGCAGGGAAGAUGAUGACGGUACCUGACUAAGAAGCCCCGGCUAACUACGUG
RNAcentral lists this ribosomal RNA (482 nucleotides) under uncultured bacterium. RNAcentral's name for it is "partial 16S ribosomal RNA". It matches the Rfam family "Bacterial small subunit ribosomal RNA", at positions 27 to 507 of the family's 1533-position model. The record is from RNAcentral.